UUAAAGGUAGUUUAAUAAAAUUUUAACUUUGGAAGUUAAAGAUUAAGGUUAGCCUUACCUUUAAA
This 65-nucleotide transfer RNA is filed under the name Lissachatina fulica (giant African snail). RNAcentral's name for it is "tRNA-Pro". It matches the Rfam family "tRNA". From Rfam's summary of the family: Transfer RNA (tRNA) molecules are approximately 80 nucleotides in length. The record is from RNAcentral. Lineage: Eukaryota; Metazoa; Mollusca; Gastropoda; Stylommatophora; Achatinidae.